CCCCAAAUCUACCAAACCUUAUCUGCUCUUCUUUCCCUAAAUCGACCAGUCCUCUGUUCUCCUCCUUUCCCCAAGUCAACCAGGUCUUUCACUCGCUUCUCACUACUGCCAACCAUUGGCCGCCUGCCUUGCCAACUCUCGCCGCCCCUCCAGGCCGCCACAACGGGUGCGGGGUGUCUGCUAGUUUCUGCUGCUUCUUCUCCUUCUCUCACUACCUUCUCCGCUCGUGCUGCCUGCUGCCGUGCUGAAGACCACUGCUGCCGCCGCCGACUGAUAAACUAAUCGGUGAACUGCUGUUGAAGGGCCGAAUGAGCAAGACUGCUGCAAGAGGAAGGUAACAGUGGUUAAACAACAAACCAUGGUCCAGGAGAGCAUAUCUGUAGUUAUUGGUCAUAUGUAGGCAUCUUUUGGUCGGUCCAGUGUGUUCUAUAGUUGUGGCUAUGGACAACUUUUGGCCAGUCCGGUGUAUUCUACAGUUGAGGCAGUGGAGCACUUUUGGCCAGUCUGGUGUAUUCUACAGUUGUGGCAAUGGAGUAGUCAUUGUCCAUAAUACCAGGUUUUCAAGCAAGGGCUGAGAUAGAUAUACAAAUCAGAAGAAUUGUCCCUUUUGAAUUACUUUACAUGUUCACUGCCAGUUUCAAAUGACAAAAGGAGCAAGCAAAUGUAAAAGAAAAGGUACACGCUUGAACAGAUCUGUAAAGCUUAAUACUUGUAUCAUUCGCUUAUUCACACAACUAUUUGAUCUAGGAUGCUUUGUUGGAAAAAAACCAUGAUACACAAGAUCAUUUGAUUUGGUUGCCUAAAAAGGGCACUGGCUUUGUAAUAAGCAUUACUGCAUUUGUAUACAAAUAGAAACAUCAUGAUACAUAAAGAUAGGCCAGGGACAUAUGUGUUACCUUGCAAAGCA
This is a long non-coding RNA of Triticum aestivum (bread wheat), 907 nucleotides long. RefSeq lists it as uncharacterized. The record is from RefSeq and is a predicted model, not a curated record. Lineage: Eukaryota; Viridiplantae; Streptophyta; Magnoliopsida; Poales; Poaceae. The transcript has 3 exons.